GUUUUCCUCUCAUGGCUUCGCUUCUUCUUCUGACACUCUUCCUCUGUUUCACCUUCACUGCAAUACCCUUUUUCUCGCCGGUUUCAGCUGAACUGGAAGCUAAAACUUACAUAUUCCGAGUUGAUAGCUUCUCUAAACCGGCAGUUUUCCCCACCCAUUACCACUGGUACAGCUCUGAGUUCACUGAACCGGUGAACAUCCUCCAUGUUUAUGACAAUGUUUUUCAUGGAUUUUCAGCUUCGUUGAGUCCUUUUCAAGCUGCUUCAGUACUUCAACAUCCUUCAAUUCUUGCCACUUUUGAGGAUCGUCGGAGGCAACUUCAUACUACAAGAUCACCGCAGUUUCUCGGUUUAAGAAACCAGAAAGGAUUAUGGUCGGAGUCAGAUUAUGGUUCUGAUGUUAUUGUUGGGGUUCUUGAUACGGGUAUUUGGCCGGAGCGUCGGAGUUUUUCCGAUCUGAAUCUGGGUCCUGUUCCUACACGUUGGAAAGGGGUUUGUGAAACGGGACCGCAGUUUACUUCUCGGAAUUGCAAUCGCAAGAUUAUCGGUGCUCGAUUUUUCUCUAAAGGUCAUGAAGCUGCCCCUGGAUUUGGUCCAAUUGGUGGGGGAAUCAAUGAUACCGUUGAGUUCCGAUCACCCAGAGACGCUGACGGUCACGGAACUCAUACAGCUUCAACAGCUGCUGGGAGGCAUGCUUUCCGAGCUAGCAUGUCUGGUUAUGCAUCGGGUAUUGCCAAAGGUGUUGCCCCGAAAGCUCGAUUAGCUGUUUAUAAAGUUUGCUGGAAGAAUUCUGGUUGCUUUGAUUCCGACAUCCUUGCAGCGUUCGAUGCUGCUGUUUCCGAUGGAGUUGAUGUCAUUUCCAUCUCAAUUGGAGGUGGUGAUGGAAUCUCUUCACCUUACUAUCUCGAUCCAAUUGCUAUCGGAGCUUAUGGAGCUGUUGCUAGGGGUGUAUUUGUGUCUUCAUCAGCUGGAAAUGAUGGACCUAAUGGAAUGUCAGUCACUAACUUGGCACCUUGGUUAACUACUGUUGGAGCUGGCACAAUUGAUAGGAAUUUCCCUGCAGAGGUAAUUCUCGGUGACGGGAGGAAGCUUUCCGGUGUAUCAUUAUAUGCCGGAAAGCCACUUAAUGGGAAAAUGUAUCCCAUAGUGUACCCUGGGAAAUCAGGUGUGCUCUCUGCUUCACUCUGUAUGGAGAAUUCACUUGAUCCUCAUUUAGUUAGAGGUAAGAUAGUGAUCUGUGAUCGCGGUAGCAAUCCUCGCGUUGCUAAAGGAUUAGUUGUCAGUAAAGCCGGUGGUGUUGGAAUGAUCCUCACAAAUGGAGUAUCAAAUGGUGAAGGUCUUGUUGGUGAUGCUCAUAUGAUACCAACUUGUGCUGUUGGUGCUAAUGAAGGUGAUAAAAUUAAAGCCUAUAUAUCUAAGAAUCCAACUGCAGCUGCAACGAUCAAUUUCCAUGGAACUAUAAUUGGAGUGAAACCGGCUCCAGUUGUCGCAUCAUUUUCCGGUAGAGGACCCAACGGUCUCAACCCAGAAAUCCUAAAACCGGACCUUAUAGCACCUGGGGUUAACAUUUUAGCUGCAUGGACUGAUGCAGUUGGUCCAACUGGCUUAGAUUUGGAUCAUCGAAAAGCAGAGUUCAAUAUACUUUCAGGCACUUCAAUGGCUUGUCCUCAUGUAAGUGGUGCAGCAGCUUUGCUCAAAUCUGCUCACCCUGAUUGGAGUCCAGCAGCAGUACGAUCUGCAAUGAUGACCACUGCUAACCUCGUCGACAACAGGCUGCUACCAAUGACCGAUGAAGCCACCGGAAAACCAGCUACACCAUACGAUUAUGGUGCAGGACACUUAAAUCUUGACCUUGCAUUAGACCCCGGGCUAGUAUACGAUCUAGCAAACCAAGACUACGUAAGCUUUUUAUGCGCAAUCGAAUACGGCCCCAAGACAAUUCAAGUGAUCACUAAAUCAGCGGUGAAUUGUCCGAUGAGGAAACCAUUGCCGGAGAAUUUGAACUAUCCAUCAAUAGCAGCACUGUUUUCAACCGCAACAAAAGGGGUAUCAAGCAAGACAUUCUUCAGAACAGUAACAAACGUAGGCGACGCAAAUGCAGUGUACAGAGUGAAAAUUGAGGCACCGAAAGGGGUGACCGUGAGUGUAAAGCCGGCGAAAUUGGGAUUCUCAGAGAAGAUAAGGAAAUUGAGUUACUAUGUAACAAUCACAGUGGACAGUAAGAAUCUGGUAUUGAAUGAUUCGGGUGCAGUUUUCGGGUCACUUUCUUGGGUUGAUGGAAAGCAUGUGGUUCGGAGCCCCAUAGUGGUAACCCAAAUGAGCCCAUUGUAAAUAGUAAACUAAUCUUGAUCCUGUUUGUUUAAUCAAGAUUUAUGGGAGAUAAUAUGGAUAGAUGUGCUAAUCACAUUAAACAAGUAGAUUCUACACUUUUUAGAGUGGUUUUUAAGUUUUUAACCUUAGCUUAUUUUGGCUUUAGGGGUUAGAAAAAGCCUAGAACCCAGGGUCAAAAUAUGGGGUUUUGUUUUAAUUUUUUUAAUUCAAGUUUUUG
This 2547-nucleotide unclassified non-coding RNA is filed under the name Hevea brasiliensis (rubber tree). Lineage: Eukaryota; Viridiplantae; Streptophyta; Magnoliopsida; Malpighiales; Euphorbiaceae. The record is from RNAcentral.